RNAcentral lists this unclassified non-coding RNA (201 nucleotides) under Gloeophyllum trabeum. Its description in RNAcentral is "ITS2". The record is from RNAcentral. Lineage: Eukaryota; Fungi; Basidiomycota; Agaricomycetes; Gloeophyllales; Gloeophyllaceae.
AUGAAUAUCUCAACUCACCCGGUUUUUGUAAAUUGUGGUGGGCUUGGACUUGGAGGUAUGCUGGCUUUCCUAGUCGGCUCCUCUUUAAAUGUAUUAGCUGGACCCGUUACGGAUCAGUACUCGGUGUGAUAAUUGUCUACGCCGUGUCUGUGAAGUGCCUUAGUGGAUCAGCUGCUAAUCGUCUUCGGACAAUUUGACAUU